AGUGGGAUAACUGGGUCAAAUGGUGGUUUCAUUCCAAGUUUUCUGAGAACUCUCCAUACUGCUUUCCAGAGUGGUUGCACCAGUUUGCAGUCCCACCAGCAAU
This 103-nucleotide microRNA precursor is filed under the name Marmota monax (woodchuck). Lineage: Eukaryota; Metazoa; Chordata; Mammalia; Rodentia; Sciuridae. The record is from RNAcentral.